RNAcentral lists this ribosomal RNA (253 nucleotides) under uncultured prokaryote. RNAcentral's name for it is "partial 16S ribosomal RNA". It matches the Rfam family "Bacterial small subunit ribosomal RNA", at positions 524 to 776 of the family's 1533-position model. The record is from RNAcentral.
GACAGAGGGUGCAAACGUUGUUCGGAUUUACUGGGCGUAAAGCGCGUGUAGGCGGCUUUGCAAGUCGGAUGUGAAAGCCCACGGCUCAACCGUGGAAGUGCAUCCGAAACUGCAUGGCUGGAGUCUCGGAGAGGAAGGUGGAAUGCUUGGUGUAGAGGUGAAAUUCGUAGAUAUCGGGAGGAACACCAGUGGCGAAGGCGACCACCUGGACUGAUACUGACACUGAGGUGCGAAAGCGUGGGGAGCAAACAGG